AGCGAACGCUGGCGGCAGGCCUAACACAUGCAAGUCGAACGAACUCUUCGGAGUUAGUGGCGGACGGGUGAGUAACACGUGGGAACGUGCCUUUUGGUUCGGAAUAACUCAGGGAAACUUGUGCUAAUACCGAAUGUGCCCUUCGGGGGAAAGAUUUAUCGCCAUUAGAGCGGCCCGCGUCUGAUUAGCUAGUUGGUGAGGUAACGGCUCACCAAGGCGACAAUCAGUAGCUGGUCUGAGAGGAUGACCAGCCACACUGGGACUGAGACACGGCCCAGACUCCUACGGGAGGCAGCAGUGGGGAAUCUUGCGCAAUGGGCGAAAGCCUGACGCAGCCAUGCCGCGUGAAUGAUGAAGGUCUUAGGAUUGUAAAAUUCUUUCACCGGGGACGAUAAUGACGGUACCCGGAGAAGAAGCCCCGGCUAACUUCGUG
RNAcentral lists this ribosomal RNA (433 nucleotides) under uncultured bacterium. RNAcentral's name for it is "partial 16S ribosomal RNA". It matches the Rfam family "Bacterial small subunit ribosomal RNA", at positions 29 to 507 of the family's 1533-position model. The record is from RNAcentral.